UUAUGCUAGAAAGAGCGCAGGGUGGAUGCCUUGGCACUAAGAGCCGAUGAAAGACGUGAUAAGCUGCGAAAAGCUUCGGGGAGGAGCAAAUAUCCGAUGAUCCGGAGAUAUCUGAAUGGGGAAACCCGGCUGGACAGACUCCAGUCAUCCAUACGCCAAUCCAUAACGUAUGGAAGGGAACCCGGUGAACUGAAACAUCUAAGUAGCCGGAGGAAGAGAAAACAACAAGUGAUUCUGUGAGUAGCGGCGAGCGAAAACGGAAGAGCCCAAACCGGAAUGCGUGCAUUCCGGGGUUCGGACCGCGUAAUUGAUCUGAUAAGUUUAGCAGAAUGGUUUUGGGAAAGCCAGCCAGAGAGGGUGAAAGCCCCGUAAGCGAAAGACGAGUCAGCAAGGCGGGAUCCAGAGUACCACGAGACACGAGAAACCUUGUGGGAAUGAGCGGGGACCACCCCGUAAGGCUAAAUACUCCUUAGUGACCGAUAGCGCAUAGUACUGUGAAGGAAAGGUGAAAAGGACCCCGGGAGGGGAGUGAAAGAGAACCUGAAACCCUGUGUUUACAAGCUGUGGAACAUCUUUAUAUGAUGAACCGCGUACUUUUUGUAGAACGGUCCGGCGAGUUACGCCAUCUGGCGAGGUUAAGUUCUUAAGGAAUGGAGCCGAAGUGAAAACAAGUCUUAACAGGGCGUUAAGUCAGAUGGAGUAGACCCGAAACCGGGUGAUCUAUCCAUGUCCAGGAUGAAGUUGCCGUAAAAGGCAAUGGAGGUCCGAACCCACAUCCGUUGAAAAGGGUGGGGAUGAGGUGUGGAUAGGGGAGAAAUUCCAAUCGAACCCGGAGAUAGCUGGUUCUCCUCGAAAUAGCUUUAGGGCUAGCCUCAUGAGAGUCUUUUGGAGGUAGAGCACUGAAUUCCCGCGGGGGCGUCAAAGCUUACCAAAGGAUAUCAAACUCCGAAUGCCAGUAAGAUGAUUCAUGGGAGUCAGACUGCACGAGAUAAGUUGGGCAGUCAAAAGGGAAAGAGCCCAGACCUGCAGCUAAGGUCCCAAAAUGUGUGUUAAGUGGAAAAGGAUGUGGGAUUUCAAAGACAACCAGGAUGUUGGCUUAGAAGCAGCCAUACAUUAAAAGAGUGCGUAAUAGCUCACUGGUCGAGAGGUCCUGCGCCGAAAAUGUCCGGGGCUGAAACACACUACCGAAGCUCAGGAAUUAACGUAGUUAAUUGGUAGAGGAGCAUUCUUAAAGGGAAGAAGCAGUACCGGAAGGAGCUGUGGACUUUUAAGAAGAGAGAAUGCCGGAAUGAGUAGCGAGAGGAAGGUGAGAAUCCUUCCGGCCGAAUACCCAAGGUUUCCAGAGUAAAGCUGAUCUGCUCUGGGUAAGUCGGGGCCUAAGGUGAGGUCGAAAGACGUAGCCGAUGGACAACAGGUUGAAAUUCCUGUACUGCAGUAUAACAGAACUGUGGGGACGCAGAGGGAGAGCACUAGCGGGAAUGGAAUCCCGUGGCAAGCGAGGUAGGAGUCGCGUUGGCAAAUCCGCGUGACAAUCCGAAGACGUGAUGCAUACCGAACUGAAGUAGGGAAAUGUGUGAGCCAGCUGCCAAGAAAAGCCGCUAUUGUUUGUACUGUACCCGUACCGUAAACCGACACAGGUAGGUGAGGAGAGAAUCCUAAGGCCGACGGGAGAAGCAUUGUUAAGGAACUCGGCAAAAUGACUCCGUAACUUCGGGAGAAGGAGUGCCAGUGAGAGCUGGCCGCAGAGAAUUGGCCCAAGCAACUGUUUAGCAAAAACACAGGUCUAUGCAAAACCGUAAGGUGAAGUAUAUGGGCUGACGCCUGCCCGGUGCUGGAAGGUUAAGGGGAGAGGUUAGCGCAAGCGAAGCUUUGAACUUAAGCCCCAGUAAACGGCGGCCGUAACUAUAACGGUCCUAAGGUAGCGAAAUUCCUUGUCGGGUAAGUUCCGACCCGCACGAAAGGCGUAAUGAUUU
Molecule: ribosomal RNA, 1973 nt
Filed under: human gut metagenome
Description: bacterial LSU rRNA
Rfam family: Bacterial large subunit ribosomal RNA
Source: RNAcentral